Molecule: ribosomal RNA, 446 nt
Filed under: uncultured bacterium
Lineage: Bacteria
Description: bacterial SSU rRNA
Rfam family: Bacterial small subunit ribosomal RNA
Source: RNAcentral
CCAGACUCCUACGGGAGGCAGCAGUGGGGAAUAUUGCACAAUGGGGGAAACCCUGAUGCAGCAACGCCGCGUGGGUGAAGAAGUAUUUCGGUAUGCAAAGCCCUAUCAGCAGGGAAGAGAAUGACGGUACCUGACUAAGAAGCCCCGGCUAACUACGUGCCAGCAGCCGCGGUAAGACGUAGGGGGCAAGCGUUAUCCGGAAUUACUGGGUGUAAAGGGAGCGUAGACGGUGAAGUAAGUCUGGAGUGAAAGGCGGGGGCCCAAACCCCGGACUGCUCUGGAAACUAUUUGACUGGAGUGCAGGAGAGGUAAGCGGAAUUCCUAGUGUAGCGGUGAAAUGCGUAGAUAUUAGGAGGAACACCAGUGGCGAAGGCGGCUUACUGGACUGUAACUGACGUUGAGGCUCGAAAGCGUGGGGAGCAAACAGGAUUAGAUACCCCUGUACG